Molecule: unclassified non-coding RNA, 333 nt
Filed under: soil metagenome
Description: partial contains 5.8S ribosomal RNA, internal transcribed spacer 2, and large subunit ribosomal RNA
Rfam family: 5.8S ribosomal RNA (bases 1-120)
Source: RNAcentral
GAUGAAGAACGCAGCGAAAUGCGAUAAGUAGUGUGAAUUGCAGAAUUCAGUGAAUCAUCGAAUCUUUGAACGCACAUUGCGCCCCUUGGUAUUCCAUGGGGCAUGCCUGUUCGAGCGUCAUUUGUACCUUCAAGCUUUGCUUGGUGUUGGGUGUUUGUCCAUUCUCUUGCAGAGGGACUCGCCUUAAAGUAAUUGGCAGCCAGUGUUUUGGUUUUGAAGCGCAGCACAAGUCGCGAUUCAACGCUAUACGCCAGCUUCCACAAGCCUUUUCACUUUUGACCUCGGAUCAGGUAGGGAUACCCGCUGAACUUAAGCAUAUCAAUAAGCGGAGGA